RNAcentral lists this microRNA precursor (65 nucleotides) under Canis lupus familiaris (dog). Its description in RNAcentral is "Cfa-Novel-13_pre stem-loop". The record is from RNAcentral. Lineage: Eukaryota; Metazoa; Chordata; Mammalia; Carnivora; Canidae.
UUCAGAGCCCUCCUACAAUGUGAGAAAACCUGAUUACCACUCAUUUGUAGGGCAGCUCUGCGGCC